GUAUGGCGAAGCGACAAUGAAGGACACUCACCCGGACGAGAAUUUUAUUGAGUUUUAUUUUGAAAUCGGCCUGAAAUACACAGACAUUCAAGCAGUGCGAUGCGCUAAGAGUCUGCCAUGCAGACCAGCGAUCCUGAUAAUGAUGCUAUCAACAGCAUGUCUUGUUCAUUUUAUUAAGUUGUCGGCCUUGGAUGAUGAGGUCCAGUUACCAGGAGCACUAGUCUGCAGCUUACUGGUUCCGUCCUGCAGCUCCUCCACGCCGUCCUCCUCUCUACAGACCAAAUCAAGAAAAGGGAACCAGGAAGCUGCUUUGGAUCCUCUGCAGUAUCUGGAGAGGUCAGAGGAACGGUUCUUGGAACAGAUCGGAAGACACCAAGACGUGACCUCUGCCAUUCUCCAGAACAUCCAGAAGAUGAAUGAAAACCUUGGUUGCACUGAUGGGACGCAUGGCGUCGGUGCUGGAGCAACUGUCCCAGAAUUAAACUGCAUUGUUGACUAUUGGCUUUUCUAGAAAAUAAAUCUUUUUUAGUACUUCA
Molecule: long non-coding RNA, 536 nt
Organism: Acanthochromis polyacanthus (spiny chromis)
Lineage: Eukaryota; Metazoa; Chordata; Actinopteri; Pomacentridae
Exons: 3
Source: RefSeq, a predicted model, not a curated record